Molecule: ribosomal RNA, 483 nt
Filed under: uncultured bacterium
Lineage: Bacteria
Description: partial 16S ribosomal RNA
Rfam family: Bacterial small subunit ribosomal RNA
Source: RNAcentral
GAUGAACGCUAGCGGCAGGCCUAAUACAUGCAAGCCGAACGGCAAGUUUGAUAGCAAUAUUGGACCUAGAGUGGCGCAAGGGUGCGUAACACGUAUGCAACCUGCCCGCGACAGGAGGAUAGCUCCCCGAAAGGGGAAUUAACCCUCCAUAACACCAUGAGAAGGCAUCUGAUUAUGGUUAAACCGCAAGGGGUCGCGGAUGGGCAUGCGGUUGAUUAGCUAGUUGGCGGGGUAAAGGCCCACCAAGGCGGUGAUCAAUAGGGGUUCUGAGAGGAAGGUCCCCCACACUGGCACUGGGAUACGGGCCAGACUCCUACGGGAGGCAGCAGUAGGGAAUAUUGGACAAUGGGUGCAAGACUGAUCCAGCCAUGCCGCGUGCAGGAAGAAGGCCUUCUGGGUCGUAAACUGCUUUUUCCUGUGGAUAAAAUACCCGUGCGCGGGGAAUUGAAGGUAACAGGGGAAUAAGCCACGGCUAACUACGUG